This is a long non-coding RNA of Canis lupus familiaris (dog), 868 nucleotides long. RefSeq lists it as uncharacterized. NCBI's taxonomy places the organism in Eukaryota, Metazoa, Chordata, Mammalia, Carnivora, Canidae. The record is from RefSeq and is a predicted model, not a curated record. The transcript is spliced from 3 exons.
GCCAUUUCACCCGCUGACAGGAGCGGCUGCCCCGCCCCCGAGGCCCAGGCAACCAAUUCGCCGCCCCCAGGCACCCUGGCUCCGCCCACCGCCCAGGAGUGACGGGGAGGCGGACCAAUCCGCGGCCAUUCCGUGAGGGGGGCCCUGGCUACGGCCAGAAGGUUGCCGCCUCUAAGGAGAGAAGCAAAUUGAAAUUAGGAAAGCAGUGAAGGACGGGCGGCUUUGCCUAUCGACGUGUGGGAUCCUGUUGAGCAACACCUGGCGGCACCAAUGACGAGGAGAGGGGGGUGUGUCUCUGAGGGAAGGCUGCGGCUCUGAAGAACCCGGGACGGAGGCAGCCGAGCGUUUGGCCCUAAGCCCCGCCCAGAGCCGGGCUUUCUGCCCAAUAAUGAGCCGUCCUGAGCCGUCCAUUAUUAUCUGCCCCUCAAAUCUCGGCCUUGGCAACUGUUGGGGCUCUCUCAAGAAGAUUGACACCGAGGGAGCCAAUAACGCUGAAGGAAGGCGGUGCAGUAACUCUCCCUGACCAAUGGGGUCGCGAGAUUGGUUUGAGGUAUAUAGCACUCACCAAGCCUAAUAUCACCUGAUCACUUCCUGGAGCUCUACAAGAUGAUCAAAUUGUUGUGUUGGAACAAUUCAUGUGGCAAAAAACUAAAGACAUCCUUUGACUAGCAGCCAGCUAGAAACUGAGGCCCUUACUCCAACAGGAACUGGAUGCAACAAAAAACCAUGUGAGUGAGCUUGUAAAUAAAUCAUUCCCCAGUUGAGCUUUCAGAUAAAAUCCUAAUCCUGACCAUUCCCUUGACUGCAGCCUCAUGAAACACUCUAGGCAAAGGAUCUGCUAAGUCAUGUCUAGAUUUCUGACCCACAA